This 406-nucleotide ribosomal RNA is filed under the name uncultured bacterium. Its description in RNAcentral is "partial 16S ribosomal RNA". It matches the Rfam family "Bacterial small subunit ribosomal RNA", at positions 28 to 526 of the family's 1533-position model. The record is from RNAcentral.
GAUGAACGCUGACAGAAUGCUUAACACAUCAGCAAUUGAUUGGUGGCGGACGGGUGAGUAACGCGUAAAGAACUUACCUCCCAGUUAGGGACAACAUUUUGAAACGAAUGCUAAUACCUAAUACUGUGAGUGAGCUUUGCGUCACAUUAGCUAGUUGGAGAGGUAACGGCUCACCAAGGCGAUGAUGGGUAGCCGGCCUGAGAGGGUGAUCGGGCACAAGGGGACUGGGACACGGGCAUUGGGCCUACGGGAGGCAGCAGUGGGGAAUAGUGGACAAUGGACCAAAGUAUGAUCCAGCAAUUCUGUGUGCAAGAUGAAGUUGUCGGAAUGUAAAGUGCUUUCAGUUGGGAAGCGGUACCAACAGAAGAAGUGACGGCUAAAUACGUGCCAGCAGCCGCGGUAAUUC